UACGGAGGGUGCAAGCGUUAUCCGGAUUCACUGGGUUUAAAGGGUGCGUAGGUGGGCUGGUAAGUCAGUGGUGAAAUCUCCAGGCUUAACUUGGAAACUGCCAUUGAUACUAUCAGUCUUGAAUACCGUGGAGGUCAGCGGAAUAUGUCAUGUAGCGGUGAAAUGCUUAGAUAUGACAUAGAACACCAAUUGCGAAGGCAGCUUACUACAGGAAUAUUGACACUGAUGCACGAAAGCGUGGGGAUCAAACAGG
RNAcentral lists this ribosomal RNA (253 nucleotides) under uncultured bacterium. RNAcentral describes it as "partial 16S ribosomal RNA". It matches the Rfam family "Bacterial small subunit ribosomal RNA", at positions 524 to 776 of the family's 1533-position model. The record is from RNAcentral.